This 91-nucleotide transfer RNA is filed under the name Pseudomonadota bacterium. RNAcentral describes it as "tRNA-Ser". It matches the Rfam family "tRNA". Rfam says of the family: Transfer RNA (tRNA) molecules are approximately 80 nucleotides in length. Their secondary structure includes four short double-helical elements and three loops (D, anti-codon, and T loops). RNAcentral also lists the same sequence under 2 other names. The record is from RNAcentral. Lineage: Bacteria; Pseudomonadati; Pseudomonadota.
GGAGAGGUGGCCGAGUGGUCGAAGGCGCGCCCCUGCUAAGGGCGUAGGGAUCAAAAGUCCCUCGAGGGUUCGAAUCCCUCCCUCUCCGCCA